UACGAAGGGGGCUAGCGUUGCUCGGAAUCACUGGGCGUAAAGCGCACGUAGGUGGAUUGUUAAGUCAGGGGUGAAAUCCUGGAGCUCAACUCCAGAACUGCCUUUGAUACUGGCGAUCUUGAGUCCGGGAGAGGUGAGUGGAACUGCGAGUGUAGAGGUGAAAUUCGUAGAUAUUCGCAAGAACACCAGUGGCGAAGGCGGCUCACUGGCCCGGUACUGACGCUGAGGUGCGAAAGCGUGGGGAGCAAACAGG
Molecule: ribosomal RNA, 253 nt
Filed under: uncultured bacterium
Lineage: Bacteria
Description: partial 16S ribosomal RNA
Rfam family: Bacterial small subunit ribosomal RNA
Source: RNAcentral